Molecule: long non-coding RNA, 261 nt
Filed under: Linum usitatissimum (flax)
Lineage: Eukaryota; Viridiplantae; Streptophyta; Magnoliopsida; Malpighiales; Linaceae
Description: long non-coding RNA (LUSI_LNC000655)
Source: RNAcentral
CCUGCGAGUAGCCGAAGAAUCCGGUACAACAUCUUUCUCUGACAAGUAGAUAACAUUCUUAACAGGACUGUCGAUACCUCCACCACUGGGAACAUCCAGAAGUUCAAGUUCAUCUGAUGGUAGGAGCUUCAAACAAGCUGAUGAUGAUAUCCAAAAUUGCUCAUCAUGAACUCACUAGAGAAAUGGAAAUGUGAAAUCAAUAAAGACGAAGAAGUCAGAUGAUUAAAACAACUUACGUUCUCUUACGCCGUCAACCAUUCG